UACUUGGAGAUUUCAUUGAUGAAGGUACUAGAACCUGCAUCGGUAUCAUCAUCUUCUUGUUCUUCUGCCUAUUCUCAAAC
RNAcentral lists this small RNA (80 nucleotides) under Arabidopsis thaliana (thale cress). RNAcentral's name for it is "ATSL245530". Lineage: Eukaryota; Viridiplantae; Streptophyta; Magnoliopsida; Brassicales; Brassicaceae. The record is from RNAcentral.